GACCUUCGGGUCUAGUGGCGCACGGGUGCGUAACGCGUGGAACUGCCUUUAGGUUCGGAAUAACUCAGAGAAAUUUGAGCUAAUACCGGAUAAUGUCUUCGGAACCAAAGAUUUAUCGCCUUUAGAUGGGCCCGCGUUGGAUUAGCUAGUUGGUGGGGUAAAGGCCUACCAAGGCGACGAUCCAUAGCUGGUCUGAGAGGAUGAUCAGCCACACUGGGACUGAGACACGGCCCAGACUCCUACGGGAGGCAGCAGUGGGGAAUAUUGGACAAUGGGCGAAAGCCUGAUCCAGCAAUGCCGCGUGAGUGAUGAAGGCCUUAGGGUUGUAAAGCUCUUUUACCCGAGAUGAUAAUGACAGUAUCGGGAGAAUAAGCUCCGGCUAACUCCGUG
Molecule: ribosomal RNA, 390 nt
Filed under: uncultured bacterium
Lineage: Bacteria
Description: bacterial SSU rRNA
Rfam family: Bacterial small subunit ribosomal RNA
Source: RNAcentral